GUUUUAUUGAUCGCAGGUGGAUAGAUGAACGGGGCGAUCGUGGAUUGGGCAGUAUGAAGAGAAGGAGGAGUAUAAAGAGGGCCUCAGAAACUGCAGAGGAGGGAAAAAGUUCUUUGUUUUAUUUCAGCCGAUACGGCGAGAGAGUUGGAGUGUUUGGGCGAGUACAGAGGAAAGAAGGCAGAGGAUAUUGUUGGCUGGGCAAAGACGGAGACAAGGGUUUGGCAGAAACAGACACCGGGCUGAGUAUAUUGGAAUGUCUACUUAACUGUGAAAUGCUCCAUGGACAUGUGUAACAAAUUCUGAGUGGUUGAAAACAGGAAGACUCACCGGAAGUAUCGCCGAAGGAGGCCUUUUUGACAGGGCACGUGGCAGCAGGAGAAGUAUCCAGGAGCUGGAAAGAAGAGGGAAAAGAGACCUCGUGUAGUAACGGUGUGAGUACCCUAAACCAUCGUACAGCAGUAUAAUCAUCUAGAGUGAACCAUCUGUGAGCGUUUUGUGAGUUUGUGGCAUAGUAUGUGAGCGGCCCCACCGUGGAGGAGGAUUGAGGGUGAGCCGGGACCAGUGAGCGAGAGAGGAUGUUGGGCUGUUGUGGCGGCAACGUUUAAAUCUGAAUAUUCGUGGCAUCAGUGUCUUCACGACUUCCAGGAAGAGUCUUUGGUCAGACGGGGUGUUGACCCUAAAUUCACCAGAGUGUGUGGAGUGCAGUGGGUGAGUCUUUGUCCUUUGCUGUGAGUGUAUACACUUGAAAAUUGCAGUGUUGUGCUGUGUUGUGUCGUCAACAACCACCUUUCAGGCCCGACGAAAUCCUGUGAAGGAAGUGAAUACCGAGGCGGGCGAAGAAAACAUCUCCAAUUAUAUGCCGUCGAUGACAUCCUGACCCUUCUUCCCCACGUGACGGUGGUGGGAAACAAUUUCAAGUAAGAACAGUGUGGAUCUAUUGGGAAGUAUUAAUGGUGAGGAGUUGGCUGCUGUAGGAGGAAAUCAGCUGUGCGUGUAUUGUUACCUGCUGUGGAGUUCUUCAAAGGUUCGUCCCUGUCUAGAUCUCUUGACUUGUCGGUUGGUAGAAAGAAGAGGGAAGCGUUCGACCCAUCCAGUGUAGUACACCCCGGGUGAGACAACUUACCUGUGUGUGACGCCAGCGGAGGCCGUGUUCGGCCCAACGCAACAGUUUUCGAUCCGCCUCUCUGUCAGCAGUUGGUAGAAGCCUCAGAAAAGGAACGUCUGACGUCUAUUCCCUCGAAGGUCUGUGAGUUACAUCACUUCCUGUUUCCCUGUAUAUUCACCGUAAGCGUAUGCCCAAAGCUAAAGCCAGCAUAUUGUGUUGUACACUCGCCUGUAUGCCCAGAGUGAAGUCCCAGUUAUAUUGGAUGUACUUACCUUAUGCCCAAAGCUAAAGCCAGCAUAUUGUGUUGUACACUCGCCUGUCUGCCCAGAGUGAAGUCCCAGUUGUAUUGGAUGUACUUACCUUAUGCCCAAAGCUAAAGCCAACAUAUUGUGUUGUACACUCGCCUGUAUGCUCAAGUGAAACCCCAGUUGUCUUUCCUACGGACUUACUUGUGCCCCCGAGUGAAGAGCCAGCGGCCCCUCUGUCCACUAUCCGUGUCCAGUCCUGUUACACUUACCUUUAUGCUCUUGUGCAGAUCUAGCGGGUCCCUUUGAAGCGUCUACCUGCAUGUCGACUCGUCACUCAGGAUACAGAGACCGUGGAAACCCCCUCCCGUACACUUACCAGUACGGUUUUAGUUGGAUCCCGGCAGCCCUUGGGCAGUUCCCCCAGCAUCUGGACGACCGGGAGUAUAAUCCGCUGGGUCGCCUCGGAGUUCGUCAAAAGUAGCAGCAGGUAUCCAUUGUGCAUCCAAACUCUCAAUACUUACCACUUGUAUCUGUUACGUCCAG
Long non-coding RNA from Cyprinus carpio carpio, 1896 nucleotides. The record is from Ensembl. Lineage: Eukaryota; Metazoa; Chordata; Actinopteri; Cypriniformes; Cyprinidae.